RNAcentral lists this small RNA (68 nucleotides) under Sinorhizobium meliloti 2011. RNAcentral's name for it is "putative ncRNA". The record is from RNAcentral. Lineage: Bacteria; Pseudomonadati; Pseudomonadota; Alphaproteobacteria; Hyphomicrobiales; Rhizobiaceae.
AUCGCGAGCGUGGGCGCCGCUCGGCCUAUGCGGGCAGAUCGAUGCCAUGUGGGCGGCUGCCGCCUUGC